RNAcentral lists this ribosomal RNA (405 nucleotides) under uncultured bacterium. Its description in RNAcentral is "bacterial SSU rRNA". It matches the Rfam family "Bacterial small subunit ribosomal RNA", at positions 355 to 774 of the family's 1533-position model. The record is from RNAcentral.
UGGGGAAUAUUGGGCAAUGGGCGCAAGCCUGACCCAGCAACGCCGCGUGAAGGAAGAAGGCCCUCGGGUUGUAAACUUCUUUUAUCAGGGACGAAGCAAGUGACGGUACCUGAUGAAUAAGCCACGGCUAACUACGUGCCAGCAGCCGCGGUAAUACGUAGGUGGCGAGCGUUAUCCGGAUUUACUGGGUGUAAAGGGCGUGUAGGCGGGAAGGCAAGUCAGACGUGAAAACCACGGGCUCAACCUGUGGCCUGCGUUUGAAACUGUUUUUCUUGAGUGAUGGAGAGGCAGGCGGAAUUCCGUGUGUAGCGGUGAAAUGCGUAGAUAUACGGAGGAACACCAGUGGCGAAGGCGGCCUGCUGGACAUUAACUGACGCUGAGGCGCGAAAGCGUGGGGAGCAAACA